RNAcentral lists this ribosomal RNA (253 nucleotides) under uncultured bacterium. RNAcentral describes it as "partial 16S ribosomal RNA". It matches the Rfam family "Bacterial small subunit ribosomal RNA", at positions 524 to 776 of the family's 1533-position model. The record is from RNAcentral.
AACGUAGGUGGCGAGCGUUAUCCGGAAUGAUUGGGCGUAAAGCGUCCGCAGGUGGCUAUGUAAGUCUGCUGUUAAAGAGUGAGGCUCAACCUCAUAAGAGCAGUGGAAACUACAUGGCUAGAGUGCGUUCGGGGCAGAGGGAAUUCCUGGUGUAGCGGUGAAAUGCGUAGAGAUCAGGAAGAACACCGGUGGCGAAAGCGCUCUGCUAGGCCGCAACUGACACUCAUGGACGAAAGCUAGGGGAGCGAAUGGG